Molecule: long non-coding RNA, 464 nt
Filed under: Heterocephalus glaber (naked mole-rat)
Lineage: Eukaryota; Metazoa; Chordata; Mammalia; Rodentia; Bathyergidae
Description: lncRNA (ENSHGLG00100050863.1)
Source: RNAcentral
AGUGCUCUGAACUUGCACCGGUAGACUGCAGAUCUGCUCUUGGGGAGACUCACUGGGCCUAGGUUUCCCUGCACUCCUGGGCUUCCGACACAGCGACCGUGCUCUGCUGUGAUCGCGGAGGGCGUGGGAAGGGUCCUGGAAAUCACGAUAGAAAAACACAAAACCCGGUUCCACGCGGUGCUUUAGUGGCUAAAAGUGAAAGAGCUGCCUUGGCAGAAUCAGCUCUAUGAAUCACUUCGGAAAAUUGGUUCGACUGAAUGGCCUUGGGAGGAAAACGUUUUAAUAGGAUCCAGGGGAGGCUCUGCCGCUUCAAUCUGCUCCUUAAACAGCGGGGUGUAAAAGACGACGCUCUCACGCGGAGGGGAGAUGCGUGCCAUGGAAAUGUGACGGACGCUGCAUGGCUCGGGACGCGGCUCCCCGGCGCGGGCGGACAGAGACCUAGAGACGACGGGCUGCGCCCCGCC